This 513-nucleotide ribosomal RNA is filed under the name uncultured bacterium. RNAcentral's name for it is "partial 16S ribosomal RNA". It matches the Rfam family "Bacterial small subunit ribosomal RNA", at positions 28 to 523 of the family's 1533-position model. The record is from RNAcentral.
GAUGAACGCUGGCGGCGUGCCUAAUACAUGCAAGUCGAGCGAACAGACGAGGAGCUUGCUCCUCUAACGUUAGCGGCGGACGGGUGAGUAACACGUGGAUAACCUACCUAUAAGACUGGGAUAACUUCGGGAAACCGGAGCUAAUACCGGAUAAUAUAUUGAACCGCAUGGUUCAAUAGUGAAAGACGGUUUUGCUGUCACUUAUAGAUGGAUCCGCGCCGCAUUAGCUAGUUGGUAAGGUAACAGCUUACCAAGGCAACGAUGCGUAGCCGACCUGAGAGGGUGAUCGGCCACACUGGAACUGAGACACGGUCCAGACUCCUACGGGAGGCAGCAGUAGGGAAUCUUCCGCAAUGGGCGAAAGCCUGACGGAGCAACGCCGCGUGAGUGAUGAAGGUCUUCGGAUCGUAAAACUCUGUUAUUAGGGAGGAACAAAUGUGUAAGUCACUAUGCACGUCUUGACGGUACCUAAUCAGAAAGCCACGGCUAACUACGUGCCAGCAGCCGCAGUAA